UCAUUAAAUGGCCGCGGUAUUUUGACCGUGCAAAGGUAGCAUAAUCAUUAGUUUAUUAAUUGUAAACUUGUAUGAAUGGUUUGACGAGACAAUUACUGUCUCAUAUUUAUAUUUAUAACUUAAAUUUUGAGUUAAAAUGCUUAAAUUUUUUUGGAGGACGAGAAGACCCUAUAGAUCUUUAUUUCUAUUAUUUAAUUUUUAUUUGGAUUAUUUAUUAUUUUUAUUUAAUAUUAGUUUUGUUGGGGUGACAUAAGGAUAUAUUUAACUCUUAUUUUUAUUAUUCAUUUAUUUAUGAUUAUUUGACCUUUUAUUAUUGUUUAUAAGAUAUAGAUACCUUAGGGAUAACAGCGUAAUCUUCUUUGAGAGUUCAUAUCGACAGGAAGGAUUGCGACCUCGAUGUUGGAUUAAGAUUAUAUUUGGGUGUAGGUGUUCAAAAGUUAGGUCUGUUCGACCUUUAAAAUCUUACAUGAUCUGAGUCA
RNAcentral lists this ribosomal RNA (479 nucleotides) under Megaphasma denticrus. Its description in RNAcentral is "partial large subunit ribosomal RNA". It matches the Rfam family "Bacterial large subunit ribosomal RNA", at positions 1920 to 2612 of the family's 2925-position model. Lineage: Eukaryota; Metazoa; Arthropoda; Insecta; Phasmatodea; Diapheromeridae. The record is from RNAcentral.